This is a long non-coding RNA of Penaeus indicus, 614 nucleotides long. RefSeq lists it as uncharacterized. Lineage: Eukaryota; Metazoa; Arthropoda; Malacostraca; Decapoda; Penaeidae. The transcript has 2 exons. The record is from RefSeq and is a predicted model, not a curated record.
UGGCUUUUAAGGUAUGUGCCUCUCAUGUGGCACUGUGUACAUAGCUCUGCCAUUAUAUACGAUGUCAAAUCUCAAUAACUACUUUUAAUUUUGAAUUAUACUUUAUUUACAGGUCCUCGUUCUAUUCGCCUUUGUGACCGGGGUCUUUGGUAGUUCACUCCCAUCCUACACCCCCGCACCAUCCUACAAUGCCCCAGCUCCUACGGGACCAGCUCAGUAUGACUUCAAUUAUGCAGUAAAUCAUGAUUACUCCAAUAACGACUUCGGCCAUCAAGAAAAUCGUAAUGGAUACGACACUCAAGGAGCCUACUUUGUACUGCUUCCCGACGGCCGUGUACAGAGGGUAUCGUACAACGUGAACGGUGACUCUGGAUACGUGGCCCAAGUUACUUACGAGGGAGAGGCCCAAUACGGCGCUCCAAGACCUUCCACCUCUUACCAGCCUUCUUAUGCUUAACCCCAUGAAUUAGAAUAUCUUAAGUUUGAUAAAAUUGAAAAAAUAACACAUAUUUAAUAGUUACAAUAAAGAUCUUGACAAACGAAAUUUAUUGUCUGCUUGUAUCACUUAAAAUAUUUAGCUAAACCUUAAUAAAAUGAAUUAAUGGAAAUAUUGA